RNAcentral lists this transfer RNA (77 nucleotides) under Faecalibaculum rodentium. RNAcentral's name for it is "tRNA-Pro". It matches the Rfam family "tRNA". From Rfam's summary of the family: Transfer RNA (tRNA) molecules are approximately 80 nucleotides in length. Lineage: Bacteria; Bacillati; Bacillota; Erysipelotrichia; Erysipelotrichales; Erysipelotrichaceae. The record is from RNAcentral.
CUAGGUGUAGCUCAGCUUGGUAGAGCACUACGUUCGGGUCGUAGGGGUCGCAGGUUCAAAUCCUGUCACCUAGACCA